ACUAAUGUUGAGAGUUACAAAAUACUUAGGACGUGUUUGGUUCGCUUUUUUUUCGCCCUGGAAUCGGAAUCGAAAUCGGAAUGGGUAAAUCCGUUUGUGGGUGUUUGGUACGCGGGAGUCCCAUUCCAAUUCCGAUUCCCGAGUGGAAUGGAAAUCCCCCAAUCACCUCUUUUUCAAUCCGGCUUAGGAGGCCGAAUUGAAAGUUGAAUCCGGACGGAAUGGAUAUUUAUUCGGAUUAAAUUUAUUUUUUUAAUUUUUUUAAUUAAAAUAUGAGUUAAAAUUCAAAAAUUAAAUAUAUAAUUUUAAAUUUUAAUUUAAACCUAAAUUAAAAAUUAAAAUUUAAUCAAGUAUUUCGAAUCUAACUUAU
Molecule: long non-coding RNA, 367 nt
Filed under: Ananas comosus (pineapple)
Lineage: Eukaryota; Viridiplantae; Streptophyta; Magnoliopsida; Poales; Bromeliaceae
Description: long non-coding RNA (ACOM_LNC040574)
Source: RNAcentral